RNA transcript from Rhipicephalus microplus (southern cattle tick), 345 nucleotides. RefSeq lists it as uncharacterized. NCBI's taxonomy places the organism in Eukaryota, Metazoa, Arthropoda, Arachnida, Ixodida, Ixodidae. The record is from RefSeq and is a predicted model, not a curated record.
GAAAUAAUCAAUGGGGUCCCUGGACCUGGAAAUCCGGAAUAAGCACCCAGUCCUAACCCAAACGAAACAACUCUACAUUUGUCGUCAGCCACCCGAUCCCGGAAACGGCACUGAGCAUUUACCACGCUGGUUUUAUCAUUAUUCUGAAAAAGUAUGCAAAAUCUUCAUUUAUACGGGCCACGGCGGCAACGAUAAUCGAUUCACCACAGAAAGACACUGUGUUUAUGGAUGCGUACCACCUGGACCUACGCACAAACUUGUUUGCAGCCGUAAUCCAUACGUACAACACUGUUUGCAUGGCCCGCACUGGUUCUUCAAUUACUCAUUGUGUACCUGCCAGAAACU